AUUUAAAUCCAACCUUCCCUGAACAAGCCCGAUCCAGUCUAAUCUCAGAAGCUAAGCAGGGUCGGGCCUGGUUAGUACUUGGAUGGGAGAACACCUAGGAAGACCAGGUGCUAUAGGCA
RNAcentral lists this ribosomal RNA (119 nucleotides) under Pteropus alecto (black flying fox). RNAcentral also lists the same sequence under 1 other name. The record is from RNAcentral. Lineage: Eukaryota; Metazoa; Chordata; Mammalia; Chiroptera; Pteropodidae.